ACUGCUCAGUAACACGUGGAUAACCUGCCCUUGGGUCCGGCAUAACCCCGGGAAACUGGGGAUAAUUCCGGAUAACGCAUAUAUGCUGGAAUGCUUUCUGCGUAAAAUGGAUUCGUCUGCCCAAGGAUGGGUCUGCGGCCUAUCAGGUAGUAGUGGGUGUAAUGUACCUACUAGCCGACGACGGGUACGGGUUGUGAGAGCAAGAGCCCGGAGAUGGAUUCUGAGACAUGAAUCCAGGCCCUACGGGGCGCAGCAGGCGCGAAAACUUUACAAUGCGGGAAACCGUGAUAAGGGGACACCGAGUGCCAGCAUCAUAUGCUGGCUGUCCGGGUGUGUAAAAUACACCCGUUAGCAAGGGCCGGGCAAGACCGGUGCCAGCCGCCGCGGUAACACCGGCGGCCCGAGUGGUGAUCGUGAUUAUUGGGUCUAAAGGGUCCGUAGCCGGUUUGGUCAGUCCUCCGGGAAAUCUGAUAGCUCAACUAUUAGGCUUUCGGGGGAUACUGCCAGGCUUGGAACCGGGAGAGGUAAGAGGUACUACAGGGGUAGGAGUGAAAUCUUGUAAUCCCUGUGGGACCACCUGUGGCGAAGGCGUCUUACCAGAACGGGUUCGACGGUGAGGGACGAAAGCUGGGGGCACGAACCGGAUUAGAUACCCGGGUAGUCCCAGCCGUAAACGAUGCUCGCUAGGUGUCAGGCAUGGCGCGACCGUGUCUGGUGCCGCAGGGAAGCCGUGAAGCGAGCCACCUGGGAAGUACGGCCGCAAGGCUGAAACUUAAAGGAAUUGGCGGGGGAGCA
RNAcentral lists this ribosomal RNA (795 nucleotides) under uncultured archaeon. Its description in RNAcentral is "bacterial SSU rRNA". It matches the Rfam family "Archaeal small subunit ribosomal RNA", at positions 85 to 878 of the family's 1478-position model. The record is from RNAcentral.